CGCGAUCAACUUCAGAAACAUUUUCAGAGCUAAUUGCGGAGGCCACGCUCCGCUGUGCUGAGUACGGUGAACGCCACCUAGGUGGCGUUGGUAGUGCUUCUUGAUGCCAGCGUCCCUUCGAAUGCUGGCAUCGAGGCGUCGUCGUGCUGAGACCACCGAAGCGUUCACUGUCGGUGCGCGUUAGUGUCAUAAUGCAGUACUUCUCUUUUCUGCUCGUAGGCGGCGGCACCGCCCCGAGCAAGAGCGCGGGUACACGGAUGAGUGUUAGAUAUAUAAGGCGCGUCUGUGUAGCUCUCUGCAAAUGCGUUUGUGGCGCAAU
Long non-coding RNA from Dermacentor silvarum, 319 nucleotides. RefSeq lists it as uncharacterized. The record is from RefSeq and is a predicted model, not a curated record. NCBI's taxonomy places the organism in Eukaryota, Metazoa, Arthropoda, Arachnida, Ixodida, Ixodidae. The transcript has 2 exons.